AUUGAACGCUGGCGGCAGGCCUAACACAUGCAAGUCGAACGUGUGGCGGACGGGUGAGUAAUGUCUGGGAAACUGCCUGAUGGAGGGGGAUAACUACUGGAACCGGUAGCUAAUCCCGAAUACCAUCGGAUGUGCCCAGAUGGGAUUGGCUAGUAGGUGGGGUAAAGGCUCACCUAGGCGACGGUCCCUAGCUGGUCUGAGAGGAUGACCGGCACCACUGGAACGGGGAAAGGGUCCAGACUCCUACGGGGGGCAGAAGUGGGGAUGAUGGCAAAUUGGGGGCAAGCUGGAUGAAGCAAUGCGGGGGGGAGGAAGAAGGCCUUGGGGUGUAAAAGUACUUUGAUCGGGGAGGCGUUACCUGCAGAAGAAGCAACGGCUAACUCCGUGCCAGCAGCCGCGGUAAUAC
Molecule: ribosomal RNA, 406 nt
Filed under: uncultured bacterium
Lineage: Bacteria
Description: partial 16S ribosomal RNA
Rfam family: Bacterial small subunit ribosomal RNA
Source: RNAcentral